CAAACGCAUGGCACAGCGAAAUUUCCUUCAAUAUGCGAUGAUGGUAGGUAGUAGAUACAUAGUUGGAUUGGAUAUUCUCUUUUGUACCUUUGGAUUUUUCAUUUUGACCCCACUCCAACACCUUCACAGCACUCCAAUGCUGUAAGGCUAUUGCCUCCUUCGUUACCCGUCUGUUUGUUACUUAUUUGAUUGUAAAUUACCACAUGUUAGCUCAUUUUUGUGCUUUAAUUUUGAUUAUUAUUAUUAUUAUUAAUUAUUAACCUGGUAUGACUAUAUUUUCUUCCCUUUUAUUAUGAAUCAGGAUAUGAAAAAAAAAAAAUGAAACUCUUCCACGACUUUUGUGUAUAUUGAUAUAACGAAAAGUAGUUUCCGUCAAAUCGGCAACACAUGAAAAAAAAAAUAACAAACAGAAUGCUGUCAAAAUAUAAGUAAUGGAGGUGCAAAAGCUCACAUAAAAAAGAUAAUGGAGGACGAGGAAGAGCAAUGCUUGUAGAAGAGAAAGUGAGAAGAUGCUUGAAGAAGAUAUUAAGGUGAGACUGAGGGGGGAGGGGUGUGAGGGAAGGGAGAGGGAUAAAAUAAGAAUUUUAUGAAAAAAUCAAAAUAGGGAAGGGAAAAUAUGGGCCCAAAGAGUGAAGGGGAGUGAAUUUAGGAACUAUAUAGCAAUUUCCCAUAGCCAAUGACCAACCUUCGUUUUUCUAUUGAGCAUUUUUUAAUUAAUUAAUACCUUCCAUUUUUUGUUGGGCUAUAUAAGAAAUUCUUUUUUACCUGCCAAAAAUAUAUAAGCAUUUUUUUCCAGUAAGGUUGGGCUUAAAGCCUAUUACUAUAAGCUUGGACUUGAUCAUGAGUACAUACCCAGAACUUUUCUAUUCUGUCGGCCCAUCUCAAUUUGCUUUGCCCUGCGUUUGGAUAUGACAUUUGAAUUUUGUAAUGUAAUUUUAGAAGAGAUUUUAAUUGCUUCUGAAUCAAAUACCCUAUUUGGGUACUCAAACACAGAAUUUGAAAAAAAUUCAGCAUUUCAUCCAUUAUCAAAAUCAGAUAUUUGAAAAUCCAUUGAAAUAGGUGGAAUUUGUAAAAUUCUUGAUUUGUCAACGGAAGAGAAAUGCAUCUCAUUCUCCAUCGUUCAUUUGUCACUUACUUUUCUCCGGUGAACCUUCCUUGUUAGAGUCGAGACCUGCCAUCAAUUGUUGGGCUCUCCUCCAUGGGGUUUGAAUCGCCGACAGAGAGUUGAACCAAGCCACUGACAAAGAGAGAAGAUUACCCGUAAACUUCGCUUUAUCAUCUUCCUGAGAUUAAACAUCAUCACUAACUAGAAAUCACCAUGGAGGAGGAACCUUUUGAUGGUGUUUUACUGUCCUCGAUGGAGUUUCUCAAGAUACAGUGGUGCAACGUUGCUACUGCUGUAAUGCUCAGGGUUUGAAUGUGAUGGUUGUAGAGAGCAAAAGUGAUG
Molecule: long non-coding RNA, 1447 nt
Filed under: Glycine max (soybean)
Lineage: Eukaryota; Viridiplantae; Streptophyta; Magnoliopsida; Fabales; Fabaceae
Description: long non-coding RNA (GMAX_LNC003858)
Source: RNAcentral